This 64-nucleotide transfer RNA is filed under the name Aeolesthes oenochrous. Its description in RNAcentral is "tRNA-Thr". Lineage: Eukaryota; Metazoa; Arthropoda; Insecta; Coleoptera; Cerambycidae. The record is from RNAcentral.
GUUUUAAUAAUUUAACCAAAAUACUGGUCUUGUAAACCAGAAAUAAGAAUCUUCUUUUAAAACA